AGGCUCCACAUAGCGAGGGCUCAACUUUUCUCUUUUCUCGAAUUUUCCUUGUGAAAAAAACCUUAAGGAAGACUUGGUCUCUAAUGGCAAAUUCCAAGGGUCUCCUAUGAUUAUUAGUGUAACUCUUCUGGCAACUCUGGGUAGUAGCCAAGUUCUUACGGAUGAUCGUGACCUUCUCAAUAGUCUCCUGGAUGAAGUCUGGUCCCAAAUGGCUGGUUUUCGACUUCACUCCAACAAAUGGGAGAAUAGUAGGAUCUACCAUACAAGGCUUCAUACGGAGCCAUACC
RNAcentral lists this long non-coding RNA (287 nucleotides) under Carica papaya (papaya). RNAcentral describes it as "long non-coding RNA (CPAP_LNC001024)". Lineage: Eukaryota; Viridiplantae; Streptophyta; Magnoliopsida; Brassicales; Caricaceae. The record is from RNAcentral.